This 2387-nucleotide long non-coding RNA is filed under the name Marmota monax (woodchuck). Lineage: Eukaryota; Metazoa; Chordata; Mammalia; Rodentia; Sciuridae. The record is from RNAcentral.
AUAUCCUGUUCCUCAUCAAAUUUCAAUCCAUUUUUAUUAUCUCCAUAAUGAUUUUAUUCAUGAGAUGUAAUUUAGUAAUAGAAUCAUUUUGGUGCUUAAACUGCCAUCAGUUUUGCAGUAGGAUCCCUCUAAGCUGGCUGCAUGUAGCUGCUUCAUUCUAUAAGUUCUUCCUUUCUUCUGGGCCACAAGAAGAUGCUUCAGGCUCAUGUUGUGUUUUCCUUACCCCAAACUAUUUCUUUCUUUCCUUUUUCUUUUCAAUUAAUUAAUUGGUCCAAACCAUUUCUCUAAAGAGUCUUGACUCCUUUAGAAACCAAGAUGGGGAACCAGCUAUCCUCAGCACUAUUAAUUCUUAUGGUGGACAAAGCUAAAAAACAUAUAUUACAUCUAUAUUUCUCUAUUUAUAUCAAGAAUCAUGGCCAAACUGGUACCUUCAAUUCCAAACCAAUGCCCUGAAGUUCAUUCUAGUUUUCCAAAUCGUGGAAGGAGACAUCAUUUUGCCUACUCCACCUAUGAAUUCCUCAUGUGUUUAAUCCCUAUACUCACCUUAGGAUUUAGAUUUUUUAAAUUUGCCAGCCUGAUGUUCCAUCAUCCCCACCCACUACAGUGUGCAUUUCAAAUAGCUCAGUGUGGGCUGGGGAGUUUCUUUGUAGCCUACUUGCAACUUUUUAGUAAGUUUGUGAUUGUUUCAAAAUAUUGAUAGGUUUAUAUUAAAAAAAAAAAACAACAACACUCUUUGGAUCAACAGACUAUGAAGUACAAUAGCAUCCAUAGUGCUCCUGGUAGUCUGGAUGAGAGGACGGUGCUGUAGUUUGGAUAUUGAAUGUUCCCUGAAUGUUCGUGUGUUAAAGGCUUGGUCCCCAGGGUGGUAUUAUUGGGGAGGUGGUGGAACCUUUAGGAUGUGGGACCUAUGGGAGGUCCUUAGAUAAUUAGGGAUUUGCCCUUGAAGGGGAUUGUGAGACCCCAGCUUCUUCCUCUUCUUCUUUUGCUUCCAGCCAUGUAAUAAUCACUUUGCUCUGCCUCAUGCUCCCUCACAUUGCCACCAGCAUAGAACAGCAAGUCUACCAGAUCAUGGACCAAAACCUCCAAAAUCGUGAGCCAAAAUAAACCUGUUCUCCUUAUAAGUUGAUUAUCUCAUGUAUUUCAUUAUAGUAGUGGAAAACUGACUAGUACAAGCGCUGACCGUUUUCCAAAUCAGAGAAAAGGAAAAAUAGGAUUUUAAUCUCAGAACGAUCAGAACUCAGAAAGGUGAUUCCUGCGGCCUUAACACCUUAAUAUGGUGGUUCCGAAUUGCAAUUUUCAACUGGUCACCUCAUCUGUCAUUCACAUAUGGACAUCCAACAGCAAUCCAGACUGGGGCUUCACUCAGAAGCUGGAGGGACCUGAUUAGCCAAGCAAUAUGGCAGAACACCUUGGCCCAACGUAAUGGCUGUAUGAAAUGCUUAGGUCUUCUUCAGCCCACUCAGUGAGAGAAAAACAGAAUAAGUGUGGUGACACAUUUGGAUCUUAGGGAUUCUCCUGUCUGAGUCCCCUACUUUAUAAAGAAACCAAAAUAGAAAGUGGUUCAAGGUUUGACAAAUUUCACAGCUGUUGAGUGACAGGACUCAGAAAACCUCACAUUCCCAUCUCACCUUUGAUGGCAUUCCAGAAUUGACUUUUGUGCAUGACUCUGGCAAGUUAGCAAUACACUUUUUGCAACGGAAGGCCUCUUUGUUCCAGGUGAUUAGGGCCAGGAGGUAUUUGGCUUAUUAAUAAAGUCAGUCAAUAUAGGGAAAUCAUAAAAGGUGAUAUAUAAAUACCUUAAAUGUUUUGUUGGAUUGAUGGGUUUUCUUUUGGAUGUGAUCUCUGUCAUUUCUGCUUUAACCUCAGUCCUGACGAAUCAGCUCUGACUCUUCCUGUUUCUUUAAAGAGUUAGAAGUUAAAGAUACUUGUCAAACAAUAUGAGUGCAUAAAUAUUCUGGAUUUAUUUUUUCCUGUUCCUCCUUUAGAAUUGUCUUAUCCUCAUUUUAUUGAAUGUGUGACUGUGUCUCAGUUGCACUUUCUGCAAAAUGAGAUGUUACAGGCUGUGUUUUCUCUGCUCCAACCCAGGAAUUAGCCAGGUCUUCAAAUCUUGGCUCCUUUUAGUGGGGAAUGGUAUUAAAAACUGACAUAGGACAUAGGUGUACUGAUCACUGUUGGAUUGCUGCUGUCCCCACAUCCUCGAGGCAAACAGAGCUAAGCAAUGUCUGUUCCUAUGUAUUUCUCUAUUUAUAUAUUUUGAAAACCAUGAGUCAUACUGAUGUCUCUAACUCCAAAUCAGCCCAUAAAGUUUGUUCUUACUUCUUCCUGUUCCAUAUUUGUAACUCCCUUUUCCAACCACAAAUAAACUGGCUUAUAUUAUCCUUAACAGA